UGGGGAAUUUUGGACAAUGGGCGAAAGCCUGAUCCAGCAAUGCCGCGUGUGUGAAGAAGGCCUUCGGGUUGUAAAGCACUUUUGUCCGGAAAGAAAUCCUUGGCUCUAAUACAGCCGGGGGAUGACGGUACCGGAAGAAUAAGCACCGGCUAACUACGUGCCAGCAGCCGCGGUAAUACGUAGGGUGCAAGCGUUAAUCGGAAUUACUGGGCGUAAAGCGUGCGCAGGCGGUUUGCUAAGACCGAUGUGAAAUCCCCGGGCUCAACCUGGGAACUGCAUUGGUGACUGGCAGGCUAGAGUAUGGCAGAGGGGGGUAGAAUUCCACGUGUAGCAGUGAAAUGCGUAGAGAUGUGGAGGAAUACCGAUGGCGAAGGCAGCCCCCUGGGCCAAUACUGACGCUCAUGCACGAAAGCGUGGGGAGCAAACAGGAUUAGAUACCCUGGUAGUCCACGCCCUAAACGAUGUCAACUAGUUGUUGGGGAUUCAUUUCCUUAGUAACGUAGCUAACGCGUGAAGUUGACCGCCUGGGGGAGUACGGUCGCAAGAUUAAAACUC
This 555-nucleotide ribosomal RNA is filed under the name uncultured bacterium. RNAcentral's name for it is "partial 16S ribosomal RNA". It matches the Rfam family "Bacterial small subunit ribosomal RNA", at positions 355 to 902 of the family's 1533-position model. The record is from RNAcentral.